UACAGAGGUCUCAAGCGUUGUUCGGAUUCAUUGGGCGUAAAGGGUGCGUAGGUGGCGCCGUAAGUCAGGUGUGAAAUUUCGGAGCUUAACUCCGAAACUGCAUUUGAUACUGCGGUGCUUGAGGACUGGAGAGGAGACUGGAAUUCCCAGUGUAGAGGUGAAAUUCGUAGAUAUCAGGAAGAACACCCGUGGCGAAAGCGGCUCUCUGGGCCGAUACUGACGCUGAGGAGCGAAAGCGUGGGGAGCAAACAGG
Molecule: ribosomal RNA, 253 nt
Filed under: uncultured bacterium
Lineage: Bacteria
Description: partial 16S ribosomal RNA
Rfam family: Bacterial small subunit ribosomal RNA
Source: RNAcentral